Molecule: ribosomal RNA, 207 nt
Filed under: uncultured bacterium
Lineage: Bacteria
Description: partial 16S ribosomal RNA
Rfam family: Bacterial small subunit ribosomal RNA
Source: RNAcentral
UCCGCAGGCGGUCUUAUAAGUCAGUGGUGAAAGCCUACAGCUCAACUGUAGAACUGCCAUUGAUACUGUAGGACUUGAAUUUGAUCGAAGUGGGCGGAAUAUGACAUGUAGCGGUGAAAUGCUUAGAUAUGUCAUAGAACACCGAUAGCGAAGGCAGCUCACUAGGUCUGGAUUGACGCUCAGGGACGAAAGCGUGGGGAGCAAACA